This is a long non-coding RNA of Oncorhynchus tshawytscha (Chinook salmon), 1724 nucleotides long. NCBI's taxonomy places the organism in Eukaryota, Metazoa, Chordata, Actinopteri, Salmoniformes, Salmonidae. The record is from Ensembl.
GAGGCUACAGACAUUCUCUUCAGUGUGGAGGCUACAGGCAUUCUCUUCAGUGUGGAGGCUACAGGCAUUCUCUUCAGUGUGGAGGAUACAGACAUUAUCUUCAGUGUGGAGGCUACAGGCAUUCUCUUCAGUGUGGAGGCUACAGACAUUCUCUUCAGUGUGGAGGCUACAGACAUUCUCUUCAGUGUGGAGGCUACAGGCAUUCUCUUCAGUGUGGAGGCUACAGACAUUCUCUUCAGUGUGGAGGCUUCAGGCGUUUUCUUCAGUGUGGGGUCUAUAGGUGUUUCCAUUUACCUAACAUUGUGACUCAGGGGGUGGAAGGCAAGCUAUAUGUGGCAUGAAGUCUCCCAAAUAUGUAUACAAUAGUUGUAUGAAAGUGGCAAAGCAGGGUAGCUUGUCCUCUAACUGUGGUGUUGGUUCAAGGCCCUGGAAGGAAAAAAGUAUUUCUAAAUAACCUAACUAGAAUGCUUUGUAAAAUGUGAAAAUGUCUGCAAAUACAAAUGUUAUUUUCUUCUGUAAUACAAUUUUUACAGAAAUUGUGUGCGAAGCAUUGCGUUGCAUCAUGUCACCAAAAUUGACUGAUAGUCCAUAAUUUCUGGUUUUGUAUAUGUAACCUCAACCCUAUGUGUUUUUCUCCCCUGCUUUCUAUCUCCCUAGGAAUGUCACCUGAGAGGCAAAGUGAGGUGGAUCCUGUUCCAUGACAAAGACAGCAGAUGAGCCUAGUUCACCUGUUCCUCUUGGACGGCCACAGGGAUGGAUGCUGUGAGGAACCUGGCUCUUGGGCUCCACCUUGAUAUGAUUCUCUAAGGGAGAAUAUGACUGCAGCAGCACUUCACUCAGUGCUCUGACAAGGACCUAAGUGUAGAAGCUAUGGCCUGCACCAACCUCACUCCUGCAGCAAAUGGUGCAUCCUCUGAUCCCCUAUAGUAAACAGAGCUUCAGCGUUGGGAAACAAGAGGAGCAAACAAGGCUGAACUCUAGAGCUUAAGGGGGGAUCGUUGUUGGAUCAGCAGUGAUUACGAAUUAAGUGAUGUUGUCCGUAAGCACAUUAGGUUAUGAUUAGUGAGGGCCGUUGAGAGCAGAGUGCUACACCUCUGAGGACUGUGGUCGACCGUCAUGCUAGUGAACUCUCCAGCUCCACGGAUCCUUACCCGUUCCAGUCGGGUUAAUAUGAUAUGUGAUGCUACAGUUGGGACAUUGAUAGAAGCCUCUCACUAUGACAAGUACCUCUGAUAAGAUUGUUUUGAGGACACACACACACAAAAUAUUUAGCUAUUUUGCAAACUACCAAUAUCCAGAGGCACAUUGUGAUUCCUCAAGUGAGUUGUUUUCUCAUUGCUAAAGUAGAUGAAUGCAUUAAUUGUAUUUUGCUACAGUGUAUAAAGAUAUUCAUAUUGAAUACUGAAACAAUUUAUAUGUUAAACAUAUGUAUAUGUGUUUUAUACACCUGUGAUAAUGAUACACCACCAAAUAUUAUGGAAGCCAUAAACUAUGGAAAAAACAGAUUGAAAUUAAAUUUGUUGUACAGAUUGUGAAAUUGUUUAUUAAAUGCUUUAAUAUGAGAGUUGAUGGUAUUUCUCUAGUUUGUGUCUUUUGAACUGAGCAAUGUAAAUGUGAUGCAUGUUCAAAUUAGAAAUGCAAAUAAUAAGAUUACAUACUGUGAAAGAGAGUGAUUCAUUGCCAGUGGCAAAUAGACAGUCUGUGUUCCUUGUUGUAUGGAAAAC